This 259-nucleotide long non-coding RNA is filed under the name Ananas comosus (pineapple). Its description in RNAcentral is "long non-coding RNA (ACOM_LNC022553)". The record is from RNAcentral. Lineage: Eukaryota; Viridiplantae; Streptophyta; Magnoliopsida; Poales; Bromeliaceae.
AGUAAUCAUUUUUAUAUUUUGGUAGAUGAAUUUUAUAUUUUGUAUUGUCUGAAAACAAAAUUUUUAUUUGAAAGAGAAAUAAAAUGCAUUUUGUAUUUUGUUAGAUGAAAGAGAAAUAAACUGGUAAAUGCAUUUUGUAUUUUGUUACAUGAAUUUUGUAUUUUGUAUUUAAUUUUUUAAAUUUUUUAUGUUUUUUAAUCCUUUCAUUGGAAUUAAUCAUGUAACUUUUAUUUUUCAGUUCGCAUGAUAUUUAGGUUUU